UUAGCCUGGAGGAAAUUGAGGAAUAUAACUAUGUGGCAAAUCAGACCUUUAAUACGAAGGAAGAUUUCUUCAAGUUUUACGAUGCUUAUGCACUCCAUAAAGGAUUCAGUGUCAGAAAGGAUAAGGUUAGCUACAAGCCUAGCACCAAGGAGGUGAUAUGGAGGAGAUUUGUGUGCUCAUGUGAAGGAUACAGAAUGGAGAAGCAUUUUGAAACAACGGAUCAGAAAAGACAGCCACGUGCCCUGACCCGAUGCGAAUGUAACGCUAGGCUUGAUGUGCAGAGGAGCGCAAGCAAUGGCAUAUGGUAUGUGAUUGAUUUUGUGGAUGUGCAUACUGAGGGCUUAAUGAUCCUCAAAAAGCGGAGGCAGUGGAGCUUUGGCUUGGUGGGCUUCGUCCACGCCAGAUUAUGGAAGUAAUGGAGACCAGCCACGGUGGUUCAGGAGAGACUGGAUUUCUUUCGCAGGAUUUGUACAAUUUUUUUGGGGCAGAAAAAGGGAAAGAAGGUCGCCGCAGCUCCAGCGUGUGCACCGUCCAUCGGGGAUCGACGCAGCCGCCGCUCCGGAAACUGCAGCACAGUCGCCAUGACGAACGGAUCAGAGGCAUCUCCUGCAGCACCCAAGACAACAUACUUUAGGGACCCCUAUAGACCCGAAAACACCAGCGCCGUUGAAUCCAAAUAAUUUUGAUCAGACUGGUGCACAUAGUGAAUCACCACGCGUAAAUCCAAACGUAGAGGUGUUGUAUGAUGGUCCAACGGAAUUUGAUCCCGAUGACGAUGAGGACCCUACUGUGGCCUAUGCAAAGAAACCAUACAUUUACCCAUCUACGAUUG
Molecule: long non-coding RNA, 832 nt
Organism: Panicum hallii
Lineage: Eukaryota; Viridiplantae; Streptophyta; Magnoliopsida; Poales; Poaceae
Exons: 3
Source: RefSeq, a predicted model, not a curated record